This is a long non-coding RNA of Alosa sapidissima (American shad), 1018 nucleotides long. RefSeq lists it as uncharacterized. The transcript has 3 exons. Lineage: Eukaryota; Metazoa; Chordata; Actinopteri; Clupeiformes; Clupeidae. The record is from RefSeq and is a predicted model, not a curated record.
UAUUGUGCGAUUUGGGCUCCCUUUUCAAGCAGGUACUGUUGGUCAUGGUAGAGCAUGUUUAAUCACUGCCAUUUGAAUUUUAAUACUUCUUUAUUUCAUUUUAUCAGAGUCAUUUCUAGAAGGUUGUGUCUACUCUUCACGGAGGACACAGGCUUCUGCAUGGAGUUCUAACAUUUGUGAUCACCUCAUUGUGACCUGAGCUGCUGGGCUGCAUUGCAACGGAACAUUCACCUUUUUGCCCUCAUGUGUCAAUGAGCUGUGGACAGUUGAGCAUAUUGAAAAGUAGGCUUAUAUUUUCUAGCUAUGUUUGAGUGGACUACGCUAUGUUGUUUAAUGAGGCUGGCAACUAACAUGCUUGUUCUCUCCUGAAAAGGGACCAGGCCAGCCACUGUUUUCCUCUAAUUAGUAUGCAUUUCUUUAUUGUGUUUGUUUGUUUGGUUGGUUAUCUGACUUUGCCUCUGGGCCUACUACCCAUGUGCCCCGUUCAUAGUAGCAUUGUACAUUAACAAGUGGUGCUAUUGAUGCUGGUGGUUCUCCUCCCCAACUAUGUCCUCUGCUUAGGCUAUCCCUGUACAAGGCCGGAUCCACACUGAUGCUUUGCCCCUUUUUGCCAAGGGAGCACAUUGGGAGACACGGUCUUGGUGUGUACUAUAACUACAACACGGUGGGAUAUUUUGUAGUGGUAUCUGAAGAUCUUGAGUGUGUAGUGCUUGCUGUGUUGCAUGCUUCGUCUGGUGUUGGGUUGCUGUCCUGUUUUUUUCCUCCUGAGCAGGGGUUUUGCAUUGGCUGAUCCGACCUUCCUAGACUGAGGAAAAUCCACCAGUUUAUAGCAGUAUUUUGUAAUACAUUUGAAAUGCAUUUAUAUAUCUGCCUCUUGUCCACUGUUCCUUUGCAGGGAACAUAUAGAAUUAGCCACACUACAUUCAGGGAAAGAUCUGUGGGUCCUCCUGCCCAUCAUCAGGGGGUGGCGUAGUCAGACCGUAAAGAAGGUAUACCGCUUGACAGAGGCAGAGGAAAA